GAGCGGCCGAUGUCUGAUUAGCUAGUUGGUGAGGUAAAGGCUUACCAAGGCUUCGAUCAGUAGCUGGUCUGAGAGGACGACCAGCCACACUGGGACUGAGACACGGCCCAGACUCCUACGGGAGGCAGCAGUGGGGAAUUUUGGACAAUGGGGGAAACCCUGAUCCAGCCAUGCCGCGUGAGUGAAGAAGGCCUUCGGGUUGUAAAGCUCUUUCAGCCGGAACGAAAAGGUUACGGUUAAUACCCGUGACUAAUGACGGUACCGGAAGAAGAAGCACCGGCUAACUACGUGCCAGCAGCCGCGGUAAUACGUAGGGUGCGAGCGUUAAUCGGAAUUACUGGGCGUAAAGCGUGCGCAGGCGGUUUUGUAAGUCAGAUGUGAAAUCCCCGGGCUCAACCUGGGAACU
Molecule: ribosomal RNA, 406 nt
Filed under: uncultured bacterium
Lineage: Bacteria
Description: bacterial SSU rRNA
Rfam family: Bacterial small subunit ribosomal RNA
Source: RNAcentral